RNAcentral lists this transfer RNA (85 nucleotides) under Medicago truncatula (barrel medic). Its description in RNAcentral is "tRNA-Leu (TAA) (tRNA-Leu-TAA-4-1)". It matches the Rfam family "tRNA". From Rfam's summary of the family: Transfer RNA (tRNA) molecules are approximately 80 nucleotides in length. Their secondary structure includes four short double-helical elements and three loops (D, anti-codon, and T loops). Lineage: Eukaryota; Viridiplantae; Streptophyta; Magnoliopsida; Fabales; Fabaceae. The record is from RNAcentral.
GCAUAGAAUGGCCGAGAGGUCUAAGGCGCCAGUCUUAAGAACUGGUCCUCGUGAGAGGGCGUGGGUUCAAAACCCACUUCUGACA